Non-coding RNA from Schistosoma margrebowiei, 78 nucleotides. The record is from Rfam. NCBI's taxonomy places the organism in Eukaryota, Metazoa, Platyhelminthes, Trematoda, Strigeidida, Schistosomatidae.
AGCCUUCUGAAUGCGUGCUGAGGUUUCGUCAGACACCAAACCAUCAAGACUCGUGAGACUCUCAAGAUAUGUGAAGUG